GAGUGAACGCUGGCGGUGGGCCUAACACAUGCAAGUCGAACGGCAGCACAGGAGAGCUUGCUCUCUAGGUGGCGAGUGGCGGACGGGUGAGGAAUACAUCGGAAUCUGCCCAGUCGUGGGGGAUAACGUAGGGAAACUUACGCUAAUACCGCAUACGACCUUCGGGUGAAAGAGGGGGAUCGCAAGACCUCUCGCGAUUGGAUGAGCCGAUGUCGGAUUAGCUAGUUAGCGGGGUAAUGGCCCACCAAGGCGACGAUCCGUAGCUGGUCUGAGAGGAUGAUCAGCCACACUGGAACUGAGACACGGUCCAGACUCCUACGGGAGGCAGCAGUGGGGAAUAUUGGACAAUGGGCGCAAGCCUGAUCCAGCCAUACCGCGUGGGUGAAGAAGGCCUUCGGGUUGUAAAGCCCUUUUGUUGGGAAAGAAAUCUUUCAGGCUAAUACCCUGGGAGGAUGACGGUACCCAAAGAAUAAGCACCGGCUAACUUCGUG
Molecule: ribosomal RNA, 491 nt
Filed under: uncultured bacterium
Lineage: Bacteria
Description: partial 16S ribosomal RNA
Rfam family: Bacterial small subunit ribosomal RNA
Source: RNAcentral